RNAcentral lists this ribosomal RNA (238 nucleotides) under uncultured bacterium. Its description in RNAcentral is "partial 16S ribosomal RNA". It matches the Rfam family "Bacterial small subunit ribosomal RNA", at positions 118 to 347 of the family's 1533-position model. The record is from RNAcentral.
UGAGGCACAUGACCUUCGGCGGGGGAUAGCCGGCCCAACGGCCGGGUAAUACCGCGUACGAUCACAUGGGGACAUCCCUGAGUGGUGAAAGCAGCAAUGCGCCGAUGGAGUGCCUCGCGGCCUAUCAGCUAGUUGGGUGGGGUAACGCCCACAAGGCGACGACGGGUAGCCGGCCUGAGAGGGUCGACCCGGCCACACGUGGGACUGAGACACGGCCAGACUCCGUACGGGAGNAGCG